UCGAGCGAAGCACUUUUGCGGAUUUCUUCGGAUUGAAGCAAUUGUGACUGAGCGGCGGACGGGUGAGUAACGCGUGGGUAACCUGCCUCAUACAGGGGGAUAACAGUUGGAAACGGCUGCUAAUACCGCAUAAGCGCACAGUACCGCAUGGUACCGUGUGAAAAACUCCGGUGGUAUGAGAUGGACCCGCGUCUGAUUAGCUAGUUGGUGGGGUAACGGCCUACCAAGGCGACGAUCAGUAGCCGACCUGAGAGGGUGACCGGCCACAUUGGGACUGAGACACGGCCCAAACUCCUACGGGAGGCAGCAGUGGGGAAUAUUGCACAAUGGGGGAAACCCUGAUGCAGCGACGCCGCGUGAGCGAUGAAGUAUUUCGGUAUGUAAAGCUCUAUCAGCAGGGAAGAAAAUGACGGUACCUGACUAAGAAGCCCCGGCUAACUACGUGCCAGCAGCCGCGGUAAUACRUAGGGGGCAAGCGUUAUCCGGAUUUACUGGGUGUAAAGGGAGCGUAGACGGCAUGGCAAGCCAGAUGUGAAAGCCCCGGGGCUCAACCCCGGGACUGCAUUUGGAACUGUCAGGCUAGAGUGUCGGAGAGGAAAGCGGAAUUCCUAGUGUAGCGGUGAAAUGCGUAGAUAUUAGGAGGAACACCAGUGGCGAAGGCGGCUUUCUGGACUAUGACUGACGUUGAGGCUCGAAAGCGUGGGGAGCAAAC
Molecule: ribosomal RNA, 712 nt
Filed under: bacterium IARFR2296
Lineage: Bacteria
Description: bacterial SSU rRNA
Rfam family: Bacterial small subunit ribosomal RNA
Source: RNAcentral